UACGUAGGUGGCAAGCGUUGUCCGGAUUUACUGGGCGUAAAGAGCGCGCAGGCGGUCGUUCAAGUCGCGUGUGAAAGCCCCCGGCUCAACCGGGGAAUGGCGCCCUAAACUGGCGAGCUGGAGUGAGAUAGGGGUGUGUGGAACUUCCGGUGGAGCGGUGAAAUGUGUUGAUAUCGGAAGGAACGCCGGUGGCGAAAGCGACACACUGGAUCUUGUCUGACGCUGAGGCACGAAAGCCAGGGGAGCGAACGGG
Molecule: ribosomal RNA, 253 nt
Filed under: uncultured bacterium
Lineage: Bacteria
Description: partial 16S ribosomal RNA
Rfam family: Bacterial small subunit ribosomal RNA
Source: RNAcentral